CCAGGACCACGAAACCCAUCACCCAGUACGACCUAUGUUUCCUACAACAGCAUUAUAUCUGGUUACUCGAUGAACACAAAUUUCACCCCUGCAAGAGAAUGUUUGAUAGAAUGCCCCCCAAAAAAUUAUUUUCCUGGAAUCUAAUGCUUAUUGGGUAUACCAGGAAUCCACUGUUGCUUUUGCUUUAAUCACUGUUUCAAACCCAUCUCCAACUAGUGAAAGAUUACCAGGUGAUCCUUCUUUGCAAUAUUUAAGAUUAAUAUUGAAAACACAACCCUUUAUAUUUGGAGUGUCUUUCGAUAGGACUAUCAUAACGGUAAAGGUGCUGUCUCUGGCAGUUCUGGAGUCACUUUUGUAGGAUUAGUUGCUAACUUGUUAUGUUUAUCAAUCAACAGAGAAGGGAAAAUGUAUUCGUUGACUGGGAGUUUUGUUGGGUUUAGAUGCACUUUUAUAAUUAAUGCACUUGGUUAUUAAUAGGAACGCUUUUGUAAUAUUUUUGUUAUAUACCCUGGCUGGGAGUUUGUUAUCGUGAUUAGAAACAUGAUGGGGG
Molecule: long non-coding RNA, 550 nt
Filed under: Glycine max (soybean)
Lineage: Eukaryota; Viridiplantae; Streptophyta; Magnoliopsida; Fabales; Fabaceae
Description: long non-coding RNA (GMAX_LNC000818)
Source: RNAcentral